Cyanistes caeruleus (blue tit) is the source of this 2397-nucleotide long non-coding RNA. RefSeq lists it as uncharacterized. The record is from RefSeq and is a predicted model, not a curated record. Lineage: Eukaryota; Metazoa; Chordata; Aves; Passeriformes; Paridae.
CCCAUUUCCCAGGGAAUUUCCAGCAACAGUGUUUAACCUCAACGUUUAAAAUCCCUGGUGGCAGAGCCUGACAUUCAGUGCACAGAAGCCUGCUCGACCUCAGCCCUGUGCACCAGGCUGCCCAGCAUCCCUGCCUCGUUGUACCCAUGAGGGUCUCUGCCCCAGACGGUCCCAGCAAAAGCAGUUUCAGGGCUGAAUUCAGUCGGGUUUCACAUCUUUUUCUUUUGCGGAGGUGAUACUACAUUGCCAGCUACGCUUUUUUACCAUAUGCAACACCAACACACUGGCAGUUAACAAGCUACAACACAGAACCACUUGGCAACACAGAGAAAAUGGGCAGAAAAUCCCCAAGCAAGAGGGAAGAGGGGAAAAAAAUGCGAUGAAUUGACUGCAUUAAGCAUGCAAGAGAGAACUGUAAAGGAGAGCCUGCCAGGGAGCAAAGGUGCCCUCCCAGGCUUGUGCACAGCACCAAGUAGGGAACUUCAGCAGGGGAAGCAGCCACUGCUAGACCAUCAGCGAGAUGAAGCACCUGAAUACUUUCUGGAGAGCAACAGAGGGAGAAGAGAGUGAUCUCACUACUCCAAUCACAUUGCAUUGUUAUAUACCUUGGAAACAGAAAAGCAGUCUAGGUAACAGAUGAUCACAAGACAGAAGAAUAAGUGACCCUGCAUUACAUAGUUUCAUAGUCCCAAACACAGUUAAAAUCAGGGAGAAAGGACAAGACGCUACUAAAGCAGGAAGAAGUGAUGGAAUCUUAAUCUUUUACAGUACCUUACACCAGCAAGCCUUUAGGGGAAUGGUCUUAUGGGGUUCAGUAGAAGACCACCUUUCUCCCCACGUCCUCUUCACCAGCUCUCCACUAAGUCAACCUCCCUGAAGACGAAACCUGUGCUGCUCUCCAUCCAUGCUAGAGUUUGUGGAACUGGGAAUCUCACAGAAUCACAGAGUGUUCUCAGUCAGAUCCUGCAACCCCCUCUCCUACUCCCCAAACACCAGCUUAGUACCCUCUCCAAAUCCUCUUUGGGAGGAAAAGACCUCAAUGAGUGCAACUACAACUUUGUAUCUUUCAAGCAGAUGAUAUUUCCAUUAAUUUCCAAGCUCCUGUUUAAAUGUAAGUGUACAUAGAGUUGGAAUGAAUAAUAGGGCUGAUAACAAUGAAAGCAGAAUACAUUGUGCUACGUAUGCCCUUGUCAGCACACAGAUGUCAUAAAGCAUCCUGGUUCCACCAUAAAAAUGUUAAAGAACCUAGGACUUUGUCUAAAAUAUCUUGGCUAGGAGCUUAAUCACUUCUAAGACUAAAAAAAAAUCCCUUUGGUACAGCAAAGUGAGUUGCACAAAAGGAGUUCUACAGAGAACAUGUGAGACAUGACGUUUUUCAUCAGCAUGGAGAGUGGGCCCACUUUAGUUCACAAAAUACCAGUGGCAGAGCCUGGUAAGUUUACUCUGUGAAACAUCACAUGUAAGUCAGCCUCCUGACUGGAACAAAUGAGAUUUAGUCCUCACUGCAAAGCUGCCACCAAAAAAGCCUGCAAGCCAGUUUCAUUUAGCAAAUGGGCAGUACCUUCUCACAGCAGGGACAGAUUUUAAUUUCCAUUUAGGAUCAGGGACACACACAGGUAAACAGCAGUAAUGCACCUCUAGGCUGUUCCAUGCCUCAGCUCAUUUUAAAUAAAGCUACCUCAGGGAAGGGAGGUGGUUUUGAGGUGAAAUACAAAAUUGAGGAACUGCGAUAUCUGUAUCCUUCUUGAAGGUGAGCGCGACAUGCAGAACAUGAUACUCCGCCUCCAGCACAGUCUGGGCUGCUCAAGACACGAUUGACAUCCCCCGACAAAGAUUUAAAGAUUAUUCAGUAUCAAAUGUUCACCAGUGUUUUGAACAGCUAAACAAUGAAUUUUCCCACUGCCUCUCCUGCUAAUGAUGAGCGAAUAAAGAAUCCCCUAGGGAAUUUCCCUUCAUCUGCUCACGAGUGCCACUUCGCUAGUCACAUUUAUCUGACAAAUCUUACAGAUGGCUUGGCACGAGCUUGCAACAAGCACACCAUCUUUGGAGCUGGGAUUGGCCGCCCGAGCCACGCGACGCUUUCUGUGGCAAACUGGGCGAGCCCACAGCGGAGCCCCAUACCAGCUACUGGAGAAAUAUCCCGAGGAAAUUUACAGCUUCACCCAGCACUGUUUCAGCAGAAGACACUGAUGAUGACAUUUCCGACACUGCAGCCACCCCAUGAGGAGUGGAGUCUCUUGGCACAGGAGAAUUUGUUCUCUGACCCAGACAGAAAGAUAUCCUGGAAAAUUACUCCCAUUGAGCCCUUUUCCUGCUGUUUUUGUGCUGAAUGCCUGUUAAAGAUGAAUUUUCCCCGUUAAAAUAAUGGGGAAGAGAAUAUAAAGAUCCAUCUGCAGA